ACUUUCGUCUAUUCCUUCUGCUCGAGAGAACGACAGAGAGAGACGGGGUGCAGAGAAGCAAAGAAAGAAAGAGAGGAGCGAGAGAGGAAGAGUGAGACAAGAGCAAGGUACGAGCGGGAGAGAGAAGAAGCACUUCCUGUAGGCAGUUUGACGAACAGACAGACACCUAUGCGCAACCACGGGAGAGCCUGAAAUGUACGAGCAGAGACAGACGCGUGAGAGGAAGAAGGCUUGCUGCGAUUGGUUCAAGAAGAAAAACAGAGCUGCGUUUAGAAAAAGAGGCGAGGAAGGAGAAAAAAUAGAAGAAAAGGGAGGAAGGAAUUUCGGGUUGAGGUUAGUGAGAGAACUAGAGACUUUGAGGCAGAGUUAAAAGAGAGGGGAGGAGUGCACGGAGAGAGUAAAAGAGAGGGUAUAAUUUUUGGGGGACUAGGGUUUUGUAGAGAGAGAGAGAGGGAGAGAGAGAGUUCGUCAGAGAAGAUCAGAAGAAUAAGAGAGUAGGCAAAUCAGAGAAAGAGGGAGAAAAUAGAGGUGAUUUGGAGUAGUAGUAACAAAAGGAAAGAGAGGGUUCUAAUUCCAGAAACCUUAGGCAGAAGGAGAUUACUUCAGGUUCGUGAAAGAGGAGCUUCAUAGUCUGCUCACCAUUUGAAAGUCUAUAUUUUCUCCUCAGAGUUUCAGCUGGAAAAAGCCUGAAUGGAGCCCUGGCCCAAUUGAAAUUUUCAUUGUUAGGCUAAAUAAGCAGGU
Non-coding RNA from Carica papaya (papaya), 741 nucleotides. The record is from RefSeq and is a predicted model, not a curated record. NCBI's taxonomy places the organism in Eukaryota, Viridiplantae, Streptophyta, Magnoliopsida, Brassicales, Caricaceae.